GUCUUCCCGGGCCCACCAUUUGCACCAGCAAAUGAGGUUUGCUGUAGCGAAUUGUGGUUUGUUUGGGUUACCUGAUCCUGACGGUUUGCUGUCAGGUGUUUGCGAUGGUUGGGGCUGUAGCUCAGCUGGGAGAGCACCUGCUUUGCAAGCAGGGGGUCAGCGGUUCGAUCCCGCUCAGCUCCACCAAUUCGCUUGGUGUCGAGACUGAGAGAUAUCCUUUGAAGAAAAUAAAAGUUUGCAUCGGCUUUUGAGCCUGAUGCCUGUUCUGCAUACAUUGUGAAGAGAAGAUUGAUCUGGAGGCUUCCAGGUGUUUUGGACUUAUGUCCGGAACGUCCGAGCCCAGUUCCUGUGAAUCCAUGGAUGGCCUAGCCGGCCGGAUGUGGUGGAGGGAUUGGAGGGUGGAAGGAAGCUUGUCGCUCUGGAUCGUUUGUUGUUCGUUGCCUUCGGGCUUCGUCUGAUAAGCGAUCGGAUUACCGUUGCCUGACCGCGCGGUAUCGGAUCCAAUCUCGAGAAGCUGGUCUUAAGACAGGCUGCAAGUGGGCUGCUCGGCGUAGCUCCAAUAAAGCAGACCUGUCGAACACGUCGAUGGCAUUGUUGGAUUGACUGGGUUGUAAAAGGUAACCCGGUCUGUUGCCGUUUCCUUCGGGGACGGUAGCGAGAUGAUGAGCAUUGGCAAUGAGAACGAUUAAGUGUCGUAAGGGCAUUUGGUGGAUGCCUUGGCAUGCACAGGCGAUGAAGGACGUGAUACGCUGCGAAAAGCCGUGGGGAGCUGCGAAUGAGCUUUGAUCCAUGGAUCUC
RNAcentral lists this unclassified non-coding RNA (798 nucleotides) under Rhizobium sp. RNAcentral describes it as "partial contains 16S-23S ribosomal RNA intergenic spacer and 23S ribosomal RNA". The stretch from base 684 to 798 matches the Rfam family "Bacterial large subunit ribosomal RNA", at positions 1 to 114 of the family's 2925-position model. The record is from RNAcentral. Lineage: Bacteria; Pseudomonadati; Pseudomonadota; Alphaproteobacteria; Hyphomicrobiales; Rhizobiaceae.